CCGAUACCAAAAUGUGAUGUGUUUACACACAGAUCACUGACUGGGCAGUGAGAAUCAUUACCAGCGUCAUUUGAUUUGCAACACAUGAAUACGCAUUUUAAAGGGGUCAUAUGGCGGAAGUACGUGUUUUUGGUGUGUUAUAAGUUGCCAAUGCAUGUAUUAGCCACGUAAAAUUGCACAAAUGAAAGUGUGGGAACAAAAGAUGCAUUCUAUCUAAAAGCGAAUGCUCAACCAGACUUGCCUGAAACGCCUCGUGUAACCACACCCCAGCAAAUCUACGUAACUUCGUAAUAUGAUUUGACUAAGACAGCCCAAAUCUAAACGUAGUUAAGGUGGGCGUAAUUGUAAAAUUCAUUGUAUCGCUUGUCAGUACAAUUGCUUUGGAACCUGAUGUUCCGAAUAUGGUAAGAGACGUCACAUUUCCGUGAAAUGCUUGCAGUAUUUGACCAAUCACUACACACUGGUGAACUGGCCAAUCAUAGCACACCUCGCUUUUCAGAGCGAUGAGCUUUGUAAAAAAUCAGCGCGUUUCAGAGAGGCGGGGCAAAGAGGAGAUACGAACAUGCACGGAACGAGGGUGGUGAGGACACAAGUACAGAGGACCCAGACGCAGACAGCGGAGUUUCGUAUGUGACCUUGUCCUGGGAGUGAACUUGGAAGAGACGGGCAUUUCUCGCAGUGCUAACCAAGUAUCAGUUCAGCUCAGAAGUCUGACAACUGUGUCAUACUUGAUGUUUUAAAGGUGAAUCAUAAGCCAAGCUCUAAACCACUGCAGGUCUGACUUUGACGGUUGAGGCAAAUUCAAUGACACAUUCAAAGGCUCCUGAAAACACCUGAGACUGACAGACACAGCUCUGGUUCUGAUGCUCAAGGUUGAUGACCACAGCCAUAGAUGGAAAGUGGUGGGAAUCUGCGAUGAUCAUGGCCUGCAAUUUGAGCCCCAUGCCAGAUGUUACUUUUGAGUUGCCAGAAACUCAAAAUCAUUACCACACAUAAAAAUAAUGGAUGUAGUUAUCUGCAAACAAUAUAAGAUGAUUUCUUGGCUGCACUGCUUGCUGUAUAAUCUUGCUGAUCAGUUAAAUUUAAAUAGUAAUCAUGUAUUUUUAUAAUUUUCCUGGUUAUAUAUAUAUUUUUAUUUCUAUACAUUUUUGUUGUCACAUUUCUACUGCUUUUGUGCUAAAAUGGACUAAAACGUAUUUUUUUACUUUUUCCUUUGUCUCUGUUUAGGGCUAAUAUGCUUUUUUUCUGUAAAGCUGCUUUGCAACAAUGCAAAAUUGUGAAAGGUAUUAAUAUGUACAAAUAUAAUGAAUGUUUCAUGACA
Molecule: long non-coding RNA, 1321 nt
Organism: Triplophysa rosa
Lineage: Eukaryota; Metazoa; Chordata; Actinopteri; Cypriniformes; Nemacheilidae
Exons: 5
Source: RefSeq, a predicted model, not a curated record